RNAcentral lists this ribosomal RNA (468 nucleotides) under uncultured bacterium. RNAcentral's name for it is "partial 16S ribosomal RNA". It matches the Rfam family "Bacterial small subunit ribosomal RNA", at positions 28 to 507 of the family's 1533-position model. The record is from RNAcentral.
GACGAACGCUGGCGGCGUGCUUAACACAUGCAAGUCGAACGGAAAGGCCCUGCUUUUGUGGGGUGCUCGAGUGGCGAACGGGUGAGUAACACGUGAGUAACCUGCCCUCGACUUUGGGAUAACUUCAGGAAACUGGGGCUAAUACCGGAUAGGAGCUCCUGCUGCAUGGUGGGGGUUGGAAAGUUUCGGCGGUUGGGGAUGGACUCGCGGCUUAUCAGCUUGUUGGUGGGGUAGUGGCUUACCAAGGCUUUGACGGGUAGCCGGCCUGAGAGGGUGACCGGCCACAUUGGGACUGAGAUACGGCCCAGACUCCUACGGGAGGCAGCAGUGGGGAAUAUUGCACAAUGGGCGGAAGCCUGAUGCAGCAACGCCGCGUGCGGGAUGACGGCCUUCGGGUUGUAAACCGCUUUCGCCUGUGACGAAGCGCGAGUGACGGUAAUGGGUAAAGAAGCACCGGCUAACUACGUG